Molecule: ribosomal RNA, 497 nt
Filed under: uncultured bacterium
Lineage: Bacteria
Description: partial 16S ribosomal RNA
Rfam family: Bacterial small subunit ribosomal RNA
Source: RNAcentral
GAUGAACGCUGGCGGCGUGCCUAAUACAUGCAAGUCGAGCGGACAGACGAGGAUCUUUCUCCUCUUACGUUAGCGGCGGACGGGUGAGUAACACGUAGAUAACCUACCGAUAAGACUGGGAUAACUUCGGGAAACCGGAUCUAAUACCGGAUAAUAGAGUGAACCGCAUGGUUCAAUAGUGAAAGACGGUUUUGCUGUCACUUAUAGAUGGAUCCGCGCCGCAUUAGCUAGUUGGUAAGGUAACGGCUUACCAAGGCAACGAUGCGUAGCCGACCUGAGAGGAUGAUCGGCCACACUGGAACUGAGACACGGUCCAGACUCCUACGGGAGGCAGCAGUAGGGAAUAUUCGGCAAUGGGCGAAAGCCUGACGGAGCAACGCCGCGUGAGUGAUGAAGGUCUUCGGAUCGUAAAACUCUGUUAUUAGGGAAGAACAAAUGUGUAAGUAAAUCUGCACGUCUUGACGGUACCUAAUCAGAAAGCAACGGCUAACUACGUG